RNAcentral lists this ribosomal RNA (301 nucleotides) under uncultured bacterium. Its description in RNAcentral is "partial 16S ribosomal RNA". It matches the Rfam family "Bacterial small subunit ribosomal RNA", at positions 509 to 807 of the family's 1533-position model. The record is from RNAcentral.
CAGCAGCCGCGGGAAUACAUAGGUGGCAAGCGUUGUCCGGAAUUAUUGGGCGUAAAGGGCUCGCAGGCGGUUUCUUAAGUCUGGUGUGAAAGCCCCCGGCUCAACCGGGGAGGGUCAUUGGAAACUGGGAAACUUGAGUGCAGAAGAGGAGAGCGGAAUUCCACGUGUAGCGGUGAAAUGCGUAGAGAUGUGGAGGAACACCAGUGGCGAAGGCGACUCUCUGGUCUGUAACUGACGCUGAGGAGCGAAAGCGUGGGGAGCGAACAGGAUUAGAUACCCCAGUAGUCCCUGUCUCUUAUAC